This 327-nucleotide ribosomal RNA is filed under the name uncultured eukaryote. RNAcentral's name for it is "partial 18S ribosomal RNA". It matches the Rfam family "Eukaryotic small subunit ribosomal RNA", at positions 1470 to 1796 of the family's 1831-position model. The record is from RNAcentral.
CCCUUAGAUGUUCUGGGCUGCACGCGCGCUACACUGCUGCAAUUAACGGGUUUUCUGUGCCGAAAGGCUUGGGGAAUCCUUUGAAUAUGCGGCGUGAUGGGGAUAGAAUAUUGUAAUUAUUACUCUUCAACGAGGAAUUCCUAGUAAGCGCGGGUCAGCAGCCCGCGCUGAUUACGUCCCUGCCCUUUGUACACACCGCCCGUCGCUCCUACCGAUUGAAUGAUUUAGUGAGGACUUCGGACUGGGACCGAUGCGGCUUUCGGGCUGCGUCGGUAUUCUGGAAAGAUGUCCAAACUGUAUCAUUUAGAGGAAGUAAAAGUCGUAACA